Molecule: long non-coding RNA, 235 nt
Filed under: Elaeis guineensis (African oil palm)
Lineage: Eukaryota; Viridiplantae; Streptophyta; Magnoliopsida; Arecales; Arecaceae
Description: long non-coding RNA (EGUI_LNC044675)
Source: RNAcentral
AGAUAGUAUUACUACUCACAGUGAGGCUACUGAAGUUUGAUUGAUAUAUAAAUAUGGAUCUCAAUAAGUUCUUGUAGUGGAUGUUGACCAUAGUUGAUCCACUGUAAGAAUAGGGUGCGCAUCAAGAUGAGAUCUAUCGACUUUGAUAGAGAGAAGUCCUAUGAGAUUUGAGAAGCUAAGUUCGAGAAUCUAUAGCUACAGUAGUGUGAUUGAUGGAAAAGAGUUUUCAUAGAAA